GUGAGUCAAUACUCCUUAAUAAACUCUCUUUCAUAUAUACAUCACCCUAUUAGUCCUGUCGCUCUAGAGAACCCUAAUACAUUAUCACAUCCCUUAGCAAAUAGACUGUUAGUGCAUGUAAGAAUAAAAUAAGAAUAAUUGCUAACAUUUAUUUAGUGCCUACAUGGGAUAGGCAUCAUUCUAAGCAGUUUACAUGUAGACUUAUUUAAUUCUCAUAAUACACAUGUUGAAUAGAAACUAUUGGCCUGGAAUGGUGGCUCUCGCCUGUAAUACCAGCAGUUUGGGAGGCCGAGACAGGUGGAUCACCUGAGGUCAAGAAUUCAAGACCAGCCUGGCCAUGAUGGUGAAACCCCCAUCUCUACAAAAAUACAAAAAUUAGCCAGGCAUGAAGGUGGGUGCCUGUAAUCCCAGCUACUUGAGAGGCUGAGGUGGAAGAAUCAUUCGAACCCGGGAAGGGGAGGUUGCAGUGAGCCGAGAUCGCCCCACUGCACUCCAGCCUGGGUGAUAGAGAGAAACUCCAUCUGAAAAAAAAAAAAAAAGAAACUAUUGACAAGGAUCUUUUUUUUGCAGAGGAAAGAGAGAUAAAGAAAUACCUACAUAAACACAUAUACAUAUACAACUUAUAUGUAUAAACACAAAUAUACAUCAUGGAUCUAGAUACUUUAUUGAUUCAUAUACUUAAUAACUUUCAACACUAAUAAAUUGGACACUUACGUAGCUGCAUUGAUAAACACACAAUGCAGAUCAUAGGUGGCUCUAUGCUCUCUGUGCCCUGUCAUGGUCUAUGCGAGAGUUUUUAGUCCUGGUGUCAUAUUGACAUUCAAGACAUUUAAGGUCCUGGAAUGUGAGCCACAUGAUGAGAUAAUUUGAGGAUGGACAGUUUGCAGAAGAGAAUACCCUUUGUUCAAAUAUCUAAACAGCUGUCAUGAACAAGAGCGAUUAGAUUCAUUUUGCUUGACCCAGGAGGUGCAAAACUGAGACUAAUGGAUGGGAGCUUCAGGGAGGGAGAAUGUUGCUCAGCCCAAGGAAGGAUUUCUGGCAAGAAAGGUCUAUGCCGCUAGAUCUUGUGCUCCUGGGAAUAGAAAGCUUUGGCUCCCUUCCAGCAUGGAAACUCAGACUAUAUGUCCAUUUACUAGGUAGUAUCAUAUUUCACAGGAUACUUCUGCUUUGAGUAAGAGAGGGUAUUACAGGACCACCAUGAUCUCUUUUAUGUAUACAUUUUAGUGGAAAUUGUAACAAGUCUAGUUAAAAUGACAUAUGCCUUGGAAAAAAAGUUUAUUUCUACUAAUGUUAAAACUACUAUGACUAUCACUGCCAAUGCUACUAUAAUUACUAUUAAUGGUCAUAUGAUAAAUAAUGUUUGCAGGGCAGCUACUGUAUACUAGGUACAUAUUCCCUCUGCUAGUUUGCAUUUUGCAUAUACCAUGUCAUUUAACCUGCACAGCAAUUCUGAGUGGUUGGUGUCAUCGAUCUCUUUUUGCAGUUUCAGGGAACUGAGGCUCUAGGAGGUGAAGCCAUCUACUCAUGGUUAGCCAGAUAGUAACACUCAGAUCUAUGUGUGUCUGGCCACAAAAUCAGUUCUCUUUCUGUUUUACAGAGCCAUAGGAAGAGAGGGUAGGAAGAGAGGAGAGGAGAGGAGAGGAGAUGAGAGGAGAGGACAUAUAAUAGAUAAUCCUAGGCUUAAGUCAGAUUUAUUUUGGGAAAAUAUGAGACUCAGUUACUGAAAUAUUCUAAUUUUUUAUAUAUCAAGCUAUACAUUACUGAUUAUAUAGUUUGCAAUUAUUGAUGACAGAUUCACUAGUUUGAUUCUUUCUUUGUUGAUCUCAUUCUUCCUGAGGUUGUUUCAUCCUUCAUAGGAAGAGCUACUACUUCACAAUUGCAUGAGAAGAGAUCAAUUUAUAUGUAUGGCUCAUACACAUCUCAAAAGGAGAAAUCAAGAGGGACUUAGGUAUGACCUACCACUACUAUGAAGCCUUUACUGAAUUCGCUGGUUCCUGAGGUUUCUUCUCAAGCUUCUGUAGAAGCUAUCCUCUGCACCACAACAUCAGAUCCUGAAUCAUGUGCUAUCAAUACUACUGGAUUUUCUGUUUUUCUGUGCCUGCUUUUCUUUCCUGUGUAGGUGGACAGAAAUGCACAUGGGUUGCAGUAUCUAGGGAAAUGCCAACUGAGGGUUCUUCAGGCCUAUUACAGACUAACAUAACUUUGAAGAGCAUAGUGAAUUCCAAUAUCUAAUCUUCAUCUUUGCAAGACCAAGAAUUCACUCUUGUCUGAGUCCUAGAAAUGAUUAUUGAUUCGAACAUUAAUUAUAUUUUCCUAACGUUUGAGUCGUCUCAAUGUUAAGUGGAGACAAUCUGGACAAAACAGAAGCUUUCUGCUCCACCUACUUGUAAGGCAAUGAGGGCAAUCACUCAACAGAAUUCCUCCUAAGAGGAACCCUGAGAGUGUUUGGAAGAAAUAAAUACUAUGCAGAAUGGAUGGUGACCAUCAAGAAAAAACUUCAGCGGAAAAAGAUGGCUCCCAGAUUUCUUUCUCAAGGAAACCAGAGCUCCAGGAGAAUGUUUUGUUUGACUGAGUACUUUGCUGGGCCAGAAGAUGAAAAAUUGGGACCAGGCAUGGUGGCUCACUCCUGUAAUCCCAGCACUUUGGGAGGCUGAGGCAGGCGGAUCAUGAGGUCAGGAGAUCGAGACCAUCCUGGCUAACACGGUAAAACCGUGUUUCUACUAAAAAUACAAAAAAUUAGCCAGGCGUGGUGGCGGCGGGCACCUAUAGUCCCAGCUACUCAGGAGGCUGAGGCAGGAGAAUGGCGUGAACCUGGGAGGCAGAGCUUGCAGUGAGCAGAGAUCGCACCACUGCACUCCAGCCUGGGCGACAGAGUGAGACUACAUCUCAAAAAAUAAUAAUAAUAAAAUAAAAUUGGAAGUCAGAGUCAAGGUAGAGCUAAACUGUAUUAGGCCGUUACAGUGCACAACUCCAGGUGCCGUCACUGGCAUUAAAGCCAGGAAGCAAUUGUGGAAAAGGGGAAUGUCUAAUGGUACCUAUCUCUAUGAGGUAAUAUAAGAUCUCUAUUUUUCUGGCAUACGCUUUCAGUAAUUUUAUCAUGUUUGAUAAUUCUUUUGUGACACUGGAUUGAUUUUGGGUGAUAGAAUGUUAAAAAAGGGCUGAGUUAUGAAUCUGAGUUACCACAGGUGAACGCAGGUACUUUUCCUGCAGCUUACCAGCUGAAAGAAAAGAGAAUAUUUGGGUUUCAUAUGAUUAUGGGAUACUGAUGUCUAAUUUGGGGGGGUUGUUAAGAUACUUAAACAAAAAGAAAUUAUAAACUGUAUGGAAAUUGUAGAAGCUCGACGUGUGUUUACUAUCUUCUUACAGGAAAGCCGAGUGAUACGGACUACUCAUAAGAAACUAAACAAGAUCAUCAAGUUGGUAACAAUGAGGGGUGUGUGUGUGUGUGUGUGUGUGUGUGUGUGUGUGUGUGUGUGUUGGGAAUUGCAUGAAGAGAGCAUGGCAGUUUUGGGGGAAUCUCACAAACAAAGAAGGAGAGCUCAGCAGUAAUUCAGAUGGUCAAGGCUCUAAGCCUGAUGACCUCUGUAUUAUUCCUACAAUAGGUCUAGGCCUGUCACAGGAGAGAGGGCCAUAGAGCACGUCUAGCCUCUCCUUUCCCCCAUACCUUGCUAGGACACUUGUAAAUCUGUUUCUCUUAUCAUCUGCUCCUCUCUUUUGAUAGCCACACUUUUCUUCAAAUAUAUUAAUGCAAGCGGCAUUGCUCUAGCUAAAUCUUGCUGUUGCCAAGAAGUCAUUUAUCUCUUUUAGAUGAUUUUACGUAUUUAUCACUUGUUUUAUUUUUUUAUUUUAUUUUAUUUUAUUUUAUUUUAUUUUAUGGUUUUUAAUCUCAGAGCUGCCUCUUCUUAUUGUUGUUGCUCUGAGUUCUGGAGUCAAGAGACCAGCAACUUAUUAAAACCCCAGUUCUGGACAACAUAGCCAACACAAAGUGUAAAUCUACUAGAAAAAAUAUCUUGCUUUUCUCAUUGUUUGUAUUCCUAUAAUUUCAGUCACAAAACAAGGGACAAAAUAGAAGCUAAAUAAACACUUGAAUAUUUCCUGGGGUCCUUUUGAUGAAAGAAUCUAUAUGAACACUUCAUGCAUUUUUUUUUUAAUGACAAAAGCUUUUGCCCUGUUCUUAAAGUCUAUUAUUGUUGCAUGCCUCUUCUUGGGUUCCAGUGAAUUAAAAUUUGUAGCAACUUAAUCUGUCUCUCUCUAAACACAUUUGUAAUGCUUUGUUUUCUUUAUUCAGUUGUGCUUUGUGUGUCAUAUAUCAUUACACUAUGUUGCAUUUCUUACAGAGAAAAUCUACUGAAAGUGUCUUUUUUUUUAGAAAAGAAAAAUUCUUUAUUACUAUGGCCUAUAGCAAUUAAAGCUUGAAAUUAGAAUUAAGUAUUGUGCAUUGCGAUGCAGACGACCAUAUAGAUAUAUUAACAUUUUG
Molecule: long non-coding RNA, 4477 nt
Filed under: Homo sapiens (human)
Lineage: Eukaryota; Metazoa; Chordata; Mammalia; Primates; Hominidae
Description: HSALNT0232284
Source: RNAcentral